Molecule: long non-coding RNA, 2127 nt
Organism: Anolis carolinensis (green anole)
Lineage: Eukaryota; Metazoa; Chordata; Lepidosauria; Squamata; Anolidae
Source: Ensembl
GCAAGUUUACCCUUCUCAUCCAUAUCAUUGAGACAUUCCAGCUAGAAUUGUCAUCACACAUACAACUGGAGACAAUUGAUUGGUUAUGUAGAUAUUAAACACAAUCAAGCAUAUUGGUGCCAGCAAUCCCAAAUGCCCUUAGAUACAGAAUUUGAUUGUAGAUGGAAUUCUGCAGAACAGAUCCUAAUCUCAGUUCAAAGGAGCUGAGAUGUUUAAAAAAGUGCCCUGUUACAGUUAUAUUGAUAUAUCUGUAUUGCUGAUGUGCCUCCCAUGCUUCAGUCAAGAUGACAAAAGCUAAGAGAUAGCCAAGCUGGCACCAUCACAAUAUUUUGGACUAUAGCUUCCAUAAUCCCCUAGCACUGCUGGUUGGAAUUGUAUUGGCCAGGAUAGGCAACAUAGUAAUCCUACAUAGCAGGAGAGUACUAUAUUGCCUGCCCUGGCUAACAAGGGUUGGGAUCCCAUUAAGGACAUAUUUAGGAGUGUGUCUUACAUUCAUGCAUGUUUUGUUUUCAUGUGACUUCAGAAGGCUAGGUUCUAAUGAUUCCCAAACUUUAGCUCUUUGUGUGUUUCAGACUUCAACUCCCAGAAGUUUCAGCUUCCAGAGUUUGGGAAAGACUAUCUCUUUGUGCUCCCUCCCUCCCUCCCUCCCUCCCUCCCUCCCUCCCUCCCUCCUUCCUUCCUUCCUUCCUUCCUUCCUUCCUUCCUUCCUUCCUUCCUUCCUUCCUUCCUUCCUAUAGCUUUCAAGCCUUGGGAGGGACUGCUUACAGUGGGGUGGGGAAGAAGGCCGUUCAAGUCAUGACAUGCAGGCUCCAAGAGGAAGGAAAAGGAACACGUACUCCACCUCUGAAUGCACCCUCAUUUCUCCCCUCAAAGCCAAGUUCACCUGCAUUAUCAUUGGCUAAAUUGCUUCCCCCUCCCUGCCUCAUUCGUGGCCUAUCCUGGGGCUUACCAGCUUCUGGGAUAAGUGAAGAAUAUGGAACUCAGCAGCUGGAGCAUUAUGCACUGCUUGCAUGAUGUAGGAUUUUGGCCAAUGCCAUGCUCAAGAGAAGGACUGAUCUUAAAGAGUUUUUCCAUUUUCACAGCCAUUUUGUCAGGCUAUAAAGGUAGGUAUGCAUUUUUUGCAUGUUUGGAAGAAGGGUUUAAACAAAUCUUAUGACUUUCAGCAGCAGGGAACCUAGAGUCUUAUCUUCUUUUCAUGUCUACCUUCUUAAAAGGUUUUGCCACCGUAGAAAACUGCUGGCCACAGUUCUUUCUAAUGAAAUACUUUUCUUGGCUCUUGUUGCCCAAAAUGCAUCUGGUGAUAGAAGCUGCCUCAUGAUAUCAUACCAUUUAUGAUGAGAUGAUGGGGGAUAUUCUCACUACUAUACAAUAGAUCAGUGGGAGAAACCAUCUGCCCUCCUCUCUCCCCUGGUGUAAUAUAAAAAACGUAGUGUGAUUUGGUUUUCUUCUUCUGAUGCAUUGCAAGUGAAAAUGACUGGAUCCCACAGUGGUAAAAGAUGUUUGGCAAGGAAAAAUGGUGAGAGUGUAAAAACCAAUGACUCAUAGAGUACAAAGUACUAUGAUUAUCUUGUGAAUUUCUCCAUCCUUCAGUAUUUGUUUUGGACUCUUUUUUCUGCUUCCAAUUCACUACCACAAAAGAAACAGUAAAUGCAUAUCUGAAAUAAAGUCAUACAAAGCCCUAACUGUACAGUUUAGAUAGUUACUCCCAUGCUUAGUUAUUGGCAAACCCACAGCAGGGACUUCUUAAUGGUGAGAUGGAGUGAUGCUGACAAUAAAAAAAAUAUGAUAACAGUGAGCUCCUGGAGGAAAGAAAAGGUGCACACACUCUAUUUGAAAGCAUGUCAUCACAGUAUUUCUUCCCACCCAGAUCUGAAACCAGCUGCUCUGAAUUGACUCCCUUUACUUCCCCACCAGUAAACAACAUUAGCAAAGGGAUGUGGGGAUACAGAGCUGUAAGUAUGCAUUACAUGGGCAUGUAGGAUAUUGGCUUAAGUAUAAUUUACUCAACAUUAUUGUAGCUGUCUGAGCCAGCAUGGUGUAGUGAUUGAAGCAGGAUUCAAAUCCCCACUUGGCCAUGGAAACCUCCUGGGUGAUCUUGGGCAAGUCACCAGAGGCAAUCCCCCUCUG